AUAAUUAUACAUUUUUAAAGGCUCUUUUUGAGGUUGUAUCCCAUAUAUGAACUUUUCAUAAAAAAAAAAAAACACGUUUCGUAGGUAUGUGAACUUUAUAUCGUCAUUUUAUGGAUUUACAUGAUUUUUAUUGACCAGCAGGUGGCAGUAAUACGCAAUAAAAUUAUCUACCAGUUACAAUUUAUUUGCUAUCGGAGGCGAAUAACGCGUUAUAAUUUCUUUGUUUUUGUUUUUAAAAUAGUGUGAAAUUCUGUCAAAUUCAGUAAAAUAUCUGAGCGUAAACAUGACACGUGAUGUAGACUGUCAUUAAUCAGCCAAUCAGCAAAGGGGAAAGACGCGCUCACCUGUCCGUCAUAAAGCCCCGCCCCCUGCAGUCAGGUGCUUUAACCUGAUAUAAUUAGCAUCUUGUAGGCUAACAUGAUAGGACCCUGGCCUGUCGCAAUGCAUUGUGGGAGUACAGGAAUGUGCAUAAUAUCUAAUAGGAGACUUUCAUGGGGAUAAAUCUAAAUAAAACACAUUUAUUAGUGUAGAAAUGUGGGGAAGUUUUAGACAAAGUUUGUUUUUGAAAUUGAUUUGGUCACGUGGGCAAAGGGGAGGAGCCAGGGAGAAGUGUCCAAAAGUUCUUCUUGGGAAUCUUCUAUCUGAAUUCAGCUAGAGACAUCUGACCCAGCAUGUGAAGAGCAUAACAUGAAAUUCAGGUGUUUUAAAGCGGGAAACAAACACACACACACACACACACACACACAGUGAAGGUGAUGAAGAGGAACUUGUGAAGGAACUCGAGAAGAACCCUCUGUCUCCUGUCUGACUCCGAACCACAGCUUCUCCUUCUGAGCUCCUCCUGGACGUCACGCAUAUGUCGGAGCUCAUUACUUAAAGCACAAGGUCUCAGAAAGAGGACGUGUCUGGGACACGGAGGACGUCUGGGCAUCCUAAAAUAACAGCCACAAUCAGGAUGCUUGUGGACCAGAUUCCAUCCUGAACCUGAACCAAAGAGCCGUAUUCGUCUCAGCCAAUCAGAUCCUGAGAACAUUGACGUGAACGGGAAAGAGAAGAGCCUGCUGGGAUUGUGGGCGGAGACACGCAGACUCCAAUUACCUCUAUGGUGGUGGUGGUAUUUUGCGCACCGUUUGCCUUUUAUGGAGAUUUGUGGGUGUGGCUUAACCAAAUCUGGCAGGAAGCAUUUUUUGCAGUCUGGCCACAACAUCCUCACUAAUGCAUUCUUUGUUUUUCAUUUCACACUGAAACCUGUAUGCUAAUCCUAAACCUGAACAUGCCUACACGCAAGCUUUAGCUCGCUAACUAGCCACCGGCUAAUCAGCUAAUUCAAUUACAUCUGAAAAAUCAAUUAAAAGGAGAAAUUUUGCAAACAUUUAAAAGACUUUUAGCACAAUAUCUUCAUAAUCCUGAUGAUACAUGACACGAUUAAGCAUUUUAUCUCUGACAAAGGAGUCCGUUCUGCAUUUCCAGUCUGUCUCUCACACACACACACACACACACACACACACACACACACACACACACACAACUUGAUGAACUGGAAGACUGAUUAGAGAGCAGGCAGAUGCAGGACGUCUCUCCCACCUCCCUGAGGGAGAACUUAAUUACAUCUCUGCGUGGAGUGUGUUGAUAUACUGUGGCAUAUAGCAUUAAUUAUUUACCACACACACACACACACACACACACACACACACACACACGUUAAUCCGGACAGUAACCAUGUGUCAUUUUGUUCAUUUGUAGCUUUCUGACCAGCCUGAAGUGUUGUAUUGCUCUUAUACCACACAUUAUUACACCCUUAUUAAUUUGUAUCCAUUUAUUGUUACAAUAAAGGUUAUUUUACCUCUC
Long non-coding RNA from Silurus meridionalis, 1848 nucleotides. RefSeq lists it as uncharacterized. The record is from RefSeq and is a predicted model, not a curated record. The transcript has 6 exons. Lineage: Eukaryota; Metazoa; Chordata; Actinopteri; Siluriformes; Siluridae.